RNAcentral lists this long non-coding RNA (397 nucleotides) under Manihot esculenta (cassava). RNAcentral's name for it is "long non-coding RNA (MESC_LNC002701)". Lineage: Eukaryota; Viridiplantae; Streptophyta; Magnoliopsida; Malpighiales; Euphorbiaceae. The record is from RNAcentral.
UUUUCAGUUCGCUUCUUCCUUUGAACCCUUUGCUAUCUUCUUCUUAAUAUUCUGGGUGCCAUGGCUGCACGGAUGAUACCUUUGGUAUACCUCCUGUACGACGUCGUAGGAUCGUGAAGAUUUGAUCUCUCUGCCGCUCUGGUAAAGUAUUUUCCUUUUCUUUUCCCCCCCUCCAUUUCUUCGUCUUCAUAUUUUGUUGGGAUCCAUCUGUACAAUUUAUAUUGUGAUAUUUGUUAUUUUGAUUUUAGGGUAUUGUUUUCGGAUGCCAAGUUUUGAUUCAAAACGCUAUUCAGAUCCAGCCUGAAGACUUGUAUCACUGUGACCAGUGAGUAAGAUAAAUGGAGGUUAUUUGAGCUUGUAUGGAAACCAAAAUGCGGUGCUUCCUUAUUAUUAUUUU